CCCAUCCCGCCGCCGCCAGCAUCUCCCACCUCGGGAUCCCUCCAGAUCCACCCUCUCUCCCUCGAUUUCCUGAUCGGGCCAACCACCUCCUUCCCUCGAUCCACCCAAUCCCGCAACCGAGGCCCGAGCUCCUCUCGCUCAAUCCCUCCUCGAGCAUCUGCCUCUGCCCGAGCUCCUACCGCAGCUCCCCAUCACCCUCGACCCCGCCUCGUCGGCCGGUCGACAACGGCGACCGGAACAACGCCGGAGAUGAGUGCCCCGACAGCCCCGCUCGUUUUCCCCUCCUGCUUCUCUACCUCUCUGUCUCACGAUCUUCCCCUCCCUCUCUCUGUUUUCGCUCACAGGAGACCGCCAUGGCGCCGCUGUAGUUCUUCUGAAGUUGGAUGCAGCAGCGCUGCAUCGAGCGCACGCCCGCGCCGCCGCUGCCGUGUCUGCCUCCCUCCGCCUCCAGCCGUCCCCGACGCCAUGCGCCUCGUCCGCCUUGCCAGGUUCUUCGCCAGUCCCUCGUCCCGCUCGUCUCCGACACCAGCGCCGUCCGCCCCGGCAACCUCGACGUCGAGCUCCAGUAGGAACUGCUUCGCGCGCCCCUGUACCCGCGAGCGUCUGAGGCUGCGCCCUCCUCCUCGUCCAGCCCCUCCCCGUCGCCUGCAUCUCCUUCGGCAACGCCGCCGUGCCCGCACGCCUAUGGCGAAGCUCCGGGAGCUCCGACGCCCUGGAGACCCGCGCCCCCGCCGGACAUCCUUCCUCCGCAUCCGGCCACGCCGGCGACAAGCCCUGCCUCCGCCGCCUCGCCAAGUUUCGCCGCCUGAACCUCCCUGCAUCGCCAUGGCCGCCGGCCUCCGUUUUCCCCGCUGUGAGCAACUACCUCCAUGAACGAAGCUUCGAUCCUUUCCUAGAUCCGUUCUGGCAUGUAGAGGUUAUUUAAGUUUGCCACUAUGUUUCCACCGCAAGCAUGUCAGCUAGCCCAGUGGCUAGCGCAGCCUCUAUCCAUUCGAGGGGUCUGGGGUUCGAGUCCCAGCCGCCCCUUUUUAUGCUUAGUUUUUCCUGUUAUUUUGCACUCCCACUUCUGCUUCGGACCAGAUCUGCUGCUGGGCUUGCAUAGUGCGUUGCAUUCGGCCCGUUGCUAUUUUUUUUGGCGUGCUGCGAAUUUGAUAUUAUCCAGAGAGUGCAGUUUUGCAGAAAA
Aegilops tauschii subsp. strangulata is the source of this 1183-nucleotide long non-coding RNA. RefSeq lists it as uncharacterized. Lineage: Eukaryota; Viridiplantae; Streptophyta; Magnoliopsida; Poales; Poaceae. The record is from RefSeq and is a predicted model, not a curated record.